Molecule: ribosomal RNA, 276 nt
Filed under: uncultured bacterium
Lineage: Bacteria
Description: partial 16S ribosomal RNA
Rfam family: Bacterial small subunit ribosomal RNA
Source: RNAcentral
CUAAGUUUGAUGGCGACCGGCGCACGGGUGAGUAACACGUAUCCAACCUGCCGAUGACUCGGGGAUAGCCUUUCGAAAGAAAGAUUAAUACCCGAUGGCAUAGUUCUUCCGCAUGGUAGAACUAUUAAAGAAUUUCGGUCAUCGAUGGGGAUGCGUUCCAUUAGGUUGUUGGCGGGGUAACGGCCCACCAAGCCUUCGAUGGAUAGGGGUUCUGAGAGGAAGGUCCCCCACCAUUGGAACUGAGACACGGUCCAAACUCCUACGGGAGGCAGCAUG